UGAAACCGAUGGGCUCCAUCUAGCUGUG
RNAcentral lists this non-coding RNA (28 nucleotides) under Mus musculus (house mouse). The record is from RNAcentral. Lineage: Eukaryota; Metazoa; Chordata; Mammalia; Rodentia; Muridae.